UUUAAGAUUUUAAAUUAAAAAAAAAAAAAAUGGAAUGUAAUUUUGAAAAUGACUUCUUUUUUUUUAAAGACAUGUGAUGAGGGAGAAGACAAUAUCCGCUCAAAGAAUCUGAGGCUGCUGUCCGAGUCAAUCGACAUCGUCAGAUCCUGGAUCAGUACGACCUUCAAAGACAAGUUGCGCGAAACCUCAGAGAUCAAGAUGUGGAAUAGCAUCAUCUCUCUCAGUUUUGUCAAUGUGGAUUUCACCAAGAAAUGGAGGCAAACCUUCUGUACGGAUUUAGAGGGCAAACUUAAACAGGUGUGGAACUGCUACAAAGAGCAUUGAUUUUAACUCUUAUUAUUAUUAUUAUUUGUGUCCAGUGGAGAUGUUUUGAUUUGUUAAAAUCACAUUUUCAGAUCUCCUCUCUGGAUCAAAUAGAGAUAUACUGCUCAAAGAUGGAGGAGCUGGAUAACUGUCAUCCUAACAUGACUUGUAGUAUUGAGAAAUGUGCUCUUGAAGCUGUCCCCUCAUUGUGCCAGGUAUGAGUACUCCUCAGGUAGUCCACAUGGAAACACAUGGAAACCUUUAAAUACUCAUAUUUCCGCCCCA
This 588-nucleotide long non-coding RNA is filed under the name Oncorhynchus kisutch (coho salmon). Its description in RNAcentral is "lncRNA (ENSOKIG00005008330.1)". The record is from RNAcentral. Lineage: Eukaryota; Metazoa; Chordata; Actinopteri; Salmoniformes; Salmonidae.